This is a non-coding RNA of Paramuricea clavata, 1139 nucleotides long. NCBI's taxonomy places the organism in Eukaryota, Metazoa, Cnidaria, Anthozoa, Malacalcyonacea, Plexauridae. The record is from the annotation of a GenBank genome assembly.
AUUUUAAUAGGCAAAUAGCGUUUGAGAUAUAGGCCUAGCAAUAUUAGCAAACAAAUACACUGAAAUCUUGGUUAGCACACCAACUUUUGCCACUUUUAAUGCAAUAUUAGUCAACUUAUAAGAGAACGUGAGACAAAUCAUGCUGAAUUAUUCGACUAUAUAACUCCUAAGACAGACGCAAUAAUCCUUUAUAGGUUUAUUACAAAUAUGUAGACAUUUGAGACGCCGUCAAUGUCUGAAGAAAUGUAUACUUAAAGCCUUUAAAUAAACGAGUUCGAUGUACAGUUUCUGGUCUUUUACCAUAAUUAUCCAAUGCUGGUUUUAUUCGCUGCAUUAUAAACGUACCUCCUCCAAACAAUACCCUUCUUUAAAAUACCAAACAUUUCGAAUGCAAUUGAGAUAUGAAAUCUCAACAAGAAGACAAUUCAAGAUGGCAAAUGGCCCGCAAAUCAGUCAAAAGUGCAAAUCAAAACCCAUAUUUACACGGCGAGUACGCGCAAUUUCUGAUCGGUUUCGACACCAUAGGUUGAAGCCAUGAAGAUAAACUUUAUUUUAAUUUUCUGGUUUAACAACCUCACCAGUACUGCGUCGUAACAAACUAACAACAUCACUAGUAUUGCCUCGAAAUGCAAAUGUGAAAUGUCGGCAGAAAAAUACGGGCGCUUCCGAUUGCUCCCGAUACUUCACGAAAAUCCGGACUGGACACCAUGAUCAUCAUCGCUCAUCGCGUUUGUGUACUAUGUGAUAAUGGCUAGCCCGCAAACGGGCUAGCCACAAAAAUUUUUCACAGAAGGAACACAUGAAUCCAUCGAUCAAUCGUGUUUACUGUCGGACAAAUUAUUUUUGUCCUUGUAGCCUACUGGUAGGUGGUCUACCGGUAAGGCGUAGGUCCGUAUCUCAGAUUUUCCAAAGUUUCUGAUUAGGAUGGAUUGAACAUCCGAAGCCUUUAUACUGAAGAUACGACCGGGCGAACAUGUGGCUACAAGUCGAGUCUUAUUGUCACUUGUCUCGCAUUGAAAAAAAAUAAUGAAAUUCAUACUAUGUCUAUGCAAUUUGCGAUUGCAUCACUAAAAUCGAUAUAGUAUAUCCAUACUAUUUUCAUACUAUGGAAACAGAUGGAUACAUAAAAUUUUUUUUUU